This is a transfer RNA of Felis catus (domestic cat), 85 nucleotides long. It matches the Rfam family "tRNA". From Rfam's summary of the family: Transfer RNA (tRNA) molecules are approximately 80 nucleotides in length. Their secondary structure includes four short double-helical elements and three loops (D, anti-codon, and T loops). The record is from Rfam. Lineage: Eukaryota; Metazoa; Chordata; Mammalia; Carnivora; Felidae.
GCCUGGGUGGCUCAGUAGGUUGAGCAUCUGACUUUGGCUCAGGUCAUGAUUUCACAGCUCGUGAGUUCGAGACCCGCGUUGGGCU